This 253-nucleotide ribosomal RNA is filed under the name uncultured bacterium. RNAcentral's name for it is "partial 16S ribosomal RNA". It matches the Rfam family "Bacterial small subunit ribosomal RNA", at positions 524 to 776 of the family's 1533-position model. The record is from RNAcentral.
UACGUAGGGUGCAAGCGUUAAUCGGAAUUACUGGGCGUAAAGCGUGCGCAGGCGGUUUUGUAAGACAGGCGUGAAAUCCCCGGGCUCAACCUGGGAAUUGCGCUUGUGACUGCAAAGCUGGAGUGCGGCAGAGGGGGAUGGAAUUCCGCGUGUAGCAGUGAAAUGCGUAGAUAUGCGGAGGAACACCGAUGGCGAAGGCAAUCCCCUGGGCCUACACUGACGCUCAUGCACGAAAGCGUGGGGAGCAAACAGG